GGAGAGGUGUCCGAGCGGCUUAAGGAGCGCGCUUGGAAAGCGCGUAUGUCGGUAUCCCCGGCAUCGAGGGUUCGAAUCCCUCCCUCUCCGCCA
Molecule: transfer RNA, 93 nt
Filed under: Engelhardtia mirabilis
Lineage: Bacteria; Pseudomonadati; Planctomycetota; Planctomycetia
Description: Planctomycetes bacterium Pla133 tRNA-Ser
Rfam family: tRNA
About the family: Transfer RNA (tRNA) molecules are approximately 80 nucleotides in length. Their secondary structure includes four short double-helical elements and three loops (D, anti-codon, and T loops). Further hydrogen bonds mediate the characteristic L-shaped molecular structure. tRNAs have two regions of fundamental functional importance: the anti-codon, which is responsible for specific mRNA codon recognition, and the 3' end, to which the tRNAs corresponding amino acid is attached (by aminoacyl-tRNA synthetases). tRNAs cope with the degeneracy of the genetic code in two manners: having more than one tRNA (with a specific anti-codon) for a particular amino acid; and 'wobble' base-pairing, i.e. permitting non-standard base-pairing at the 3rd anti-codon position.
Source: RNAcentral